GGAAAUAGCUGGUUCUCUCCGAAAACUAUUUAGGUAGUGCCUCGUAUAUCAUUCUCGGGGGUAGAGCACUGUUAUGGCUAGGGGGACAUCCCGACUUACCAAACCAUUGCAAACUCCGAAUACCAAUAAGUAGAGCACGGGAGACACACUGCGGGUGCUAACGUCCGUAGUGGAGAGGGAAACAACCCAGACCAACAGCUAAGGUCCCAAAAUUAUGACUAAGUGGAAAACGAAGUGGGAAGGCCUAGACAUCCAGGAGGUUGGCUUAGAAGCAGCCACCCUUUAAAGAGUGCGUAAUAGCUCACUGGUCAAGUGAUUCCGCGCCGACAAUGUAGCGGGGCUCAAGUCAUCCGCCGAAGCUAUGGCAUUCAGC
RNAcentral lists this ribosomal RNA (373 nucleotides) under Oxyrrhis marina. RNAcentral describes it as "partial Bacterial large subunit ribosomal RNA". It matches the Rfam family "Bacterial large subunit ribosomal RNA", at positions 841 to 1213 of the family's 2925-position model. The record is from RNAcentral. Lineage: Eukaryota; Dinophyceae; Oxyrrhinales; Oxyrrhinaceae.